UCUAAUGUGGCAGAAAAGUGCAAUGGAUUUAAGCUCCUUAUAUAAAGAAUAUUCUUUCGUUAGAA
RNAcentral lists this transfer RNA (65 nucleotides) under Siphluriscus chinensis. RNAcentral describes it as "tRNA-Leu". RNAcentral also lists the same sequence under 1 other name. Lineage: Eukaryota; Metazoa; Arthropoda; Insecta; Ephemeroptera; Siphlonuridae. The record is from RNAcentral.